RNAcentral lists this ribosomal RNA (301 nucleotides) under uncultured bacterium. Its description in RNAcentral is "partial 16S ribosomal RNA". It matches the Rfam family "Bacterial small subunit ribosomal RNA", at positions 509 to 807 of the family's 1533-position model. The record is from RNAcentral.
CAGUAGCCACGGUAAUACGUAGGUGGCAAGCGUUGUCCGGAAUUAUUGGGCGUAAAGGGCUCGCAGGCGGUUUCUUAAGUCUGAUGUGAAAGCCCCCGGCUCAACCGGGGAGGGUCAUUGGAAACUGGGAAACUUGAGUGCAGAAGAGGAGAGUGGAAUUCCACGUGUAGCGGUGAAAUGCGUAGAGAUGUGGAGGAACACCAGUGGCGAAGGCGGCUCUCUGGUCUGUAACUGACGCUGAGGAGCGAAAGCGUGGGGAGCGAACAGGAUUAGAUACCCCGGUAGUCCCUGUCUCUUAUAC